Molecule: transfer RNA, 71 nt
Filed under: Loxodonta africana (African savanna elephant)
Lineage: Eukaryota; Metazoa; Chordata; Mammalia; Proboscidea; Elephantidae
Rfam family: tRNA
About the family: Transfer RNA (tRNA) molecules are approximately 80 nucleotides in length.
Source: Rfam by way of RNAcentral
GCAGAGGUGGUUCAGUGGUAGAAUUCUUGCCUCCCAUGCAGGAGACCUGAGUUCAAUUCCUAACCAAUGUA